Long non-coding RNA from Lytechinus variegatus (green sea urchin), 370 nucleotides. RefSeq lists it as uncharacterized. Lineage: Eukaryota; Metazoa; Echinodermata; Echinoidea; Temnopleuroida; Toxopneustidae. The transcript has 3 exons. The record is from RefSeq and is a predicted model, not a curated record.
UAAUCAUAGUCACAACCUGUCAUCUUCCAUUUCUACACCAUUAAAGACUAUCCCCAACAGGCUGAAUGUAGGAAGGGAAGCUAAUGAAAGAAGCAAACGUAAACUUGCUUUUUCUCCAGGAACUCCAACUUCUCGACAACAGUCCAAGAAACUCUUUGCAUCAUCUUGUACCAGAUCCCCAGAUUCUAGAGCAUUACACUGUUCUUCAAUUAAGGACAAGAAUCUGCCAAAUUCUGAGCCAUCUGGAACACUAAAGAAGUGUCAUAGGAAGAGGCUGUUUGAGCAUGUUGAGUCAUCUAAGGUAUCGUCAAAGCUGAGCACACUUGUCGUUUCUGACCAGCAAGACAACAAUCACCUCAUGCCAGAUGUU